CAGUCGCCGCGGGAAUACGGAGGGGGCUAGCGUUGUUCGGAAUUACUGGGCGUAAAGCGCACGUAGGCGGCUUGGUAAGUUAGAGGUGAAAGCCUGGAGCUCAACUCCAGAAUUGCCUUUAAGACUGCCGAGCUAGCAGGUGAGAGAGGUAAGUGGAAUUCCAAGUGUAGAGGUGAAAUUCGUAGAUAUUCGGAAGAACACCAGUGGCGAAGGCGGCUUACUGGCUCAUACUGGACGCUGAGGUGCGAAAGCGUGGGGAGCAAACAGGAUUAGAUACCCGCGUAGUCCCUGUCUCUUAUAC
Molecule: ribosomal RNA, 301 nt
Filed under: uncultured bacterium
Lineage: Bacteria
Description: partial 16S ribosomal RNA
Rfam family: Bacterial small subunit ribosomal RNA
Source: RNAcentral